AAUGACACGAUCACUCCCGCUGAGCGAGUGGACGCAGAGCCACGGGGCUGUCGUGUCUGUCC
This 62-nucleotide microRNA precursor is filed under the name Python bivittatus (Burmese python). RNAcentral's name for it is "Pbv-Mir-425_pre stem-loop". The record is from RNAcentral. Lineage: Eukaryota; Metazoa; Chordata; Lepidosauria; Squamata; Pythonidae.